Molecule: ribosomal RNA, 253 nt
Filed under: uncultured bacterium
Lineage: Bacteria
Description: partial 16S ribosomal RNA
Rfam family: Bacterial small subunit ribosomal RNA
Source: RNAcentral
UACGAACUGUGCGAACGUUAUUCGGAAUCACUGGGCUUACAGGGUGCGUAGGCGGCCUUUCAAGUCAGGUGUGAAAGCCCUCGGCUCAACCGAGGAACUGCGCUUGAAACUGAAGGGCUCGAGUCAGCUAGAGGUGCACGGAACUUCCAGUGGAGCGGUGAAAUGUGUUGAUAUUGGCAGGAACGCCGGUGGCGAAAGCGACACACUGGGUCUCAACUGACGCUGAGGCACGAAAGCCAGGGGAGCGAACGGG